RNAcentral lists this ribosomal RNA (582 nucleotides) under Actinomyces graevenitzii. Its description in RNAcentral is "bacterial SSU rRNA". It matches the Rfam family "Bacterial small subunit ribosomal RNA", at positions 963 to 1533 of the family's 1533-position model. The record is from RNAcentral. Lineage: Bacteria; Bacillati; Actinomycetota; Actinomycetes; Actinomycetales; Actinomycetaceae.
GAAGAACCUUACCAAGGCGUGACAUGUUAACCGUGGCUCUAGAGAUAGGGUUUACCCUUUUGGGUGGUUUUCACAGGUGGUGCAUGGUUGUCGUCAGCUCGUGUCGUGAGAUGUUGGGUUAAGUCCCGCAACGAGCGCAACCCUUGUCCCGUGUUGCCAGCACGUUGUGGUGGGGACUCGCGGGAGACUGCCGGGGUCAACUCGGAGGAAGGUGGGGAUGACGUCAAAUCAUCAUGCCCCUUAUGUCUUGGGCUUCACGCAUGCUACAAUGGCCGGUACAGAGGGUUGCGAUACUGUGAGGUGGAGCUAAUCCCUAAAAGCCGGUCUCAGUUCGGAUUGGGGUCUGCAACUCGACCCCAUGAAGUCGGAGUCGCUAGUAAUCGCAGAUCAGCAACGCUGCGGUGAAUACGUUCCCGGGCCUUGUACACACCGCCCGUCAAGUCACGAAAGUUGGUAACACCCAAAGCCGGUGGCCUAACCCUUUUGGGAGGGAGCCGUCUAAGGUGGGAUUGGCGAUUGGGACUAAGUCGUAACAAGGUAGCCGUACCGGAAGGUGCGGCUGGAUCACCUCCUUUCUAAGGA